This is a long non-coding RNA of Caretta caretta (loggerhead turtle), 1769 nucleotides long. RefSeq lists it as uncharacterized. NCBI's taxonomy places the organism in Eukaryota, Metazoa, Chordata, Testudines, Cheloniidae. The record is from RefSeq and is a predicted model, not a curated record.
UCCUGCUUUCGCUUUUAUAGAUCUUUCCCUCCUGACCCACACCCAUUGAGAGAUCUCAUGAACUGAGAUCGCUGCUAAGUGGACUCUCAGGGAACUUUAGAGAAAGAUUCAAUGAUUUCAGAUGUACCAUACUCUAAAAUGUCCUGAAUCUUAGCAUCUGUGGCAGUUAUACCCCAGUGGCUGAAACAGAUUGAAAAAUGCUUCCACUUGGCUAAAUAAGCAGAUCUAGUGGUAUGCUGUCUGCUGUUCAGUAAAAUAUUUUGAACUGCCAAAGAACAAUGUUUCUCUAUUUCAUCAAGUCACUCAAUAGCCAGGGUGUAAGGUGCAGGCUGUUCAGGUCUGGGUGUAAUAAUUGACCAUGGUGUUGAGACAGUAGAUCUGGAAGUGUAGGCAGAGUCCAAGGAGGCCAAAUGGAGAGGCUGUGAAGAUCCAAGAACCAGCACUGUCUGAACCAUGCUGGGGGUUAUGAGAAUUAUUCUGGCAUGGGCUUGUUUUGAUAUGAGCAUCACCUGUGGGAUGAGGUGAGUGGAAAGGAAUGCAUACAUGAAGUAUGGUCCCCACCAAAGAAGAAAAGCAUCGGUCAACAAGCUUGGGCUGUGACCUGCUUGAAAGCAAAAUUGACAGCAUUUUCUUUUGUCAUUCAUUGCAAAUAUGUCAACCACCAGGAUUCCCCAGCCACAGAAGAUGGUUCUGAGCACACUGCACUUCAGAGACCACUUGUGAUCAUGAAAAAAUCUGCUGAGAUAUUGGCCAACAGGGAUCCCAGAAACUAUGCUCGGACAAACUAAUGUAUUGGAUGUUGUGGAGAACCAGUUGUUUGGAUCUGCAUCAAAUUAGCCAACCAUCCAGAUAUGGAAAGACAUGGAUCCUGUUUCUCCUCAGAUAGGCUGCCAUUUCUGUCAUGCAUUUUGUGAAUACUUACACAGCCAACAACGGCCAAAGGGAAGUACUGUGUACUGAUUAUGCAGCUUGCUAUCACAAAUCUUGGAAACAUCUUGUGACUUGGCAAAACUGCCACAUGGAAGUUGACAUCCUGCAAAUCGAGGGCACCAAACCAGCCGGUACAAUCUUGGGAAGGACUAAUCAGUACUAGAGACAAUGUGAGAACUUAUGUAUUUGAUGGACUUGUUGAGACUGUGAAGCUCUAGAAGGGAUCUCAUGUCUCCCUUAAAAUGUGGAAUCAGAAAGUAUUGUGAAUAACACCUCCUUCCCCAAUGUUGAAUCGGAACUUCCUCUACAGCCCCUAGAUAGAGCAGAGUCUGAACUUCUUGAAAAAGCACUGACUCAUGAGAGUGGUCCCUGAAGAAGGAUGGGGACGAUGGGUGAGGAUGUGGGGUAGGAAGAAACUGGAUUGAAUACUCAAUCCCACAGUAUUUAUGAUCAAUUUGUCCAUAGUUAUGGACUUCCAAGCACUGAGGAAAUGAGAUAAUAUACCCCCAAAUGGUGGGGAGAAAGAGGAUAGAUUGCUGAUGACUGUUUUGCUGUCCUUGAGUGGGAAGUCAAAUGGACUACUUCCCCAUAGCUGAUUAAGGAUGGGAUGCCAGUAUAGUGGUAGAAUUAGACUAUUUCCUACACUGAGAUUUAUAACUCUUCUUUGAAAAGCCUGUCUGUGUUGAUGGAUAAAAUAGCUGCCAAUAAUACCGCUGUUGCUGAGGCCUAUAUUGACAUUUCCUGGGUGUUGGAGUGAACAGUCACUUGAGAGUCUUACUUAAACAAAUGUAAAGUCUCGUCCAUUUUGUUAGAAAAUAAAAACUGAGUAUCAACGGGAA